This 626-nucleotide ribosomal RNA is filed under the name Microcharidius sp. 14 CA-2017. Its description in RNAcentral is "partial 18S ribosomal RNA". Lineage: Eukaryota; Metazoa; Arthropoda; Insecta; Coleoptera; Carabidae. The record is from RNAcentral.
AUAUACGCUAUUCGAGCUGGAAUUACCGCGGCUGCUGGCACCAGACUUGCCCUCGAAUUGCUAAUCGUUAAAGGAUUUAAAGUGUUCUCAUUCCGAUUACGGGGCCUCGGAUGAGUCCCGUAUCGUUAUUUUUCGUCACUACCUCCCCGUGCCGGGAGUGGGUAAUUUGCGCGCCUGCUGCCUUCCUUGGAUGUGGUAGCCGUUUCUCAGGCUCCCUCUCCGGAAUCGAACCCUGAUUCCCCGUUACCCGUUACAACCAUGGUAGGCGCAGAACCUACCAUCGACAGUUGAUAAGGCAGACAUUUGAAAGAUGCGUCGCCGGUGCGAGACCGUGCGAUCAGCAGAAAGUUAUUCAGAGUCACCAAACAGUGCGACGAACAAUAACGCCGAAACGCUACUGCCGCCGAUUGGUUUUGAUCUAAUAAAAGCACUCCUUCCGUCUCCGGUUGGAGCUCUGUUUGCAUGUAUUAGCUCUAGAAUUACCACAGUUAUCCAAGUAAAUGUGGGUACGAUCUAAGGAACCAUAACUGAUUUAAUGAGCCUUUCGCGGUUUCACCUUAAUUUGGCUUGUACUGAGACAUGCAUGGCUUAAUCUUUGAGACAAGCAUAUGACUACUGGCAGGAUC